CUCUGAGUUCUUGGUGCUUUAUCUCUCUGUAACGAAUGCAGGAAAAUAUGAUUAUGAAGAUGUAACUACGCAUCCUAUUGAAGAAAAAUUGUCAUUUCCCCUGGGCAAAGGUGAAGGAUCAAGUUGCACCUGAGUACAUCCACUCACCCCUCUGACUUGGUGAUCAGUGUAUACUGCUCAGGGAUUAGAACAUUACUCACAUCAUGACUACUUUCCUGUGUUCCUGAGCUCAGAGGAAGACACAUGCAACGGAGAAGAAGCACAUAGCCACAUCACGUUAGACGAUUAAUAUGUAGAUCUCAAGAGGGAGGAUGAAAGAUGUGGGAAUGACUUGGUCUGGGGGAGAAAAUUAAAGCCUUGAAGUCUACCCAAGAACCAAACAGGAAAACAGCGAUAGCUAAAAGACAAGGUUUCUUACUAGGUUAUCAGAAGGAAAAUUUUCCUUCCAGGUUAAUUCAGCUGGGUAGAGCGAACACUGUUGUGUUUUGGAGAUAUGGCAAAGUUGAGCAGCAUCUGGGUGGAUAAGAGGUCUUCUCUUGACUAUCCGAACUUACUAUAGGGGAGAUGAAAAUAAAUACAAUAUUAAGGUUAGUCACAUGAACUUCUUUUAUAGGAGUACCGUAGGAGAGAGAUUUGUACUGCUGCUCAGGCUCAAGGCCAGUGAAGGGCUUGGAAUUAAUUUUAAGGUAUCUGUUUUGGUGGUAAAGGAAGAUUUUGUUGAGGGCUAAGGACUAGGCCAUAUUCACUGUCACUCCUCUGACUCAUCGAUCUUCUAUGAUGGGUAGGAAAAUCAAGUAAGAGAAACAUCGUGGCGAGACACACCUUAUAUUCCUCACUAUCCACUAAGUGACAUGAAGCUCACCAUUUCCCUCCAGUUCUCCCACCAGGGAUUUAUACAUAUUAAAUGUACAUCUUCUUUGCUUUUCCUUUUGUUGAAAAUAGAUUUUUUUUCUCACAUAAUGGAUCCUGAUUAUAGUUCCCAUCCGUCUACUCUCCUCCCCAGUUCCACCUCCCUUGCCCUCCCAUCUGGUUCAUCCCCUUUCUGUCUCUCACUAGAAAACAAAUACAUUUCUAAGGGGGUAAUAACAGAAUAAGAUACAAUGAGAUAAAAGCAAAAACUAACACACUGGAAUAGCACAAAACAAGCAAGCACAAGUAUAAGAGCCCAAAAGAAGGCACAAGAAUCAGAGACCCACUUGUUUUCCCACUCAGGCGUCACACAAAAGCCCUAAACUGAAAGCCAUAAUAUGUACCCAAGGAACCUGUAGAGUACAAAGAGAAAAAAAAAUACAAAUAAAAUUUA
RNAcentral lists this long non-coding RNA (1303 nucleotides) under Mus pahari (shrew mouse). RNAcentral's name for it is "predicted gene 28981 (MGP_PahariEiJ_G0005946.1)". Lineage: Eukaryota; Metazoa; Chordata; Mammalia; Rodentia; Muridae. The record is from RNAcentral.